AUUGAACGCUGGCGGCAGGCCUAACACAUGCAAGUCGAACGGUAACAGAAAGCAGCUUGCUGCUUUGCUGACGAGUGGCGGACGGGUGAGUAAUGUCUGGGAAACUGCCUGAUGGAGGGGGAUAACUACUGGAAACGGUAGCUAAUACCGCAUAACGUCGCAAGACCAAAGAGGGGGACCUUCGAGCCUCUUGCCAUCGGAUGUGCCCAGAUGGGAUUAGCUUGUUGGUGGGGUAACGGCUCACCAAGGCGACGAUCCCUAGCUGGUCUGAGAGGAUGACCAGCCACACUGGAACUGAGACACGGUCCAGACUCCUACGGGAGGCAGCAGUGGGGAAUAUUGCACAAUGGGCGCAAGCCUGAUGCAGCCAUGCCGCGUGUAUGAAGAAGGCCUUCGGGUUGUAAAGUACUUUCAGCGGGGAGGAAGGGAGUAAAGUUAAUACCUUUGCUCAUUGACGUUACCCGCAGAAGAAGCACCAGCUAACUCCGU
Molecule: ribosomal RNA, 489 nt
Filed under: uncultured bacterium
Lineage: Bacteria
Description: partial 16S ribosomal RNA
Rfam family: Bacterial small subunit ribosomal RNA
Source: RNAcentral